This 401-nucleotide ribosomal RNA is filed under the name uncultured bacterium. RNAcentral describes it as "partial 16S ribosomal RNA". It matches the Rfam family "Bacterial small subunit ribosomal RNA", at positions 338 to 754 of the family's 1533-position model. The record is from RNAcentral.
CCUACGGGAGGCAGCAGUGGGGAAGAGUGGGCAAUGGGCGCAAGCCUGACCCAGCGACGCCGCGUGAGGGAAGACGGUCUUCGGAUUGUAAACCUCUUUCAGCAGGGAAGAAAAAAGGACGGUACCGGCAGAAGAAGCCACGGCUAACUACGGGCCAGCAGACGCGGUAAUACGUAGGUGGCAAGCGUUAUCCGGAAUUACUGGGUGUAAAGGGUGUGUAGGCGGGUUUGCAAGUCAGAUGUGACACUUAUGGGCUCAACCCAUAACCUUCGUCUGAAACUACAGAUCUUGAGAGUGGGAGAUGUAAACGGACUUCCCGGUGUAGCGGUGAAAUGCGUAGAUAUCGGGAGGAACACCAGUGGCGAAGGCGGUUUACUGGACCACACCUGCCGCUGCGCCAC